UGGAAACAAAGUGAUCCCUCGGAAGCAUUAAUCACAACAAAAUUACAUAAGAAUUGCAGACUCGGUUUGAUUGAGUCUGUACAUGAGGAAUAAUGAAUAAGUGCAACAUCCCUCACGCCCCCUAGCACCGGCUUGAGCGGUACUCAAUUCUCAACACUUAAUAGGGCUGGCAUCAAUGAUCCCGAAGGACCAGAAAAUAUAACAACACUGAAGUGAAGUACGGGGCAACUUUUUACGGCUGCCACACAGCACUUGACACAGCCAUUCUGUCACCAAUAAACGUGGUUAGUUUAUAAAAUAGCUAACUUUAUACGUUUGACCGUGUGCUGCAUUUUGAUAUUCUUGUAGUUAUAUUUAAAAGGAACAUCCAAAAAUAACAUUGAUGUUGGGAAUUUGAAAACUUGUCUUUGCUAUAAAAUUCCUUAAUCAGAACAUAAGAUCAAGGCUUAUAAGCUCAAAGACAAUGACAUUUAAAAUGAAUUUCCAGAGUAAUCUUAUUUCUGGAUGUUUGAGCAUAUAUAGUUACGAAGAUAUUCAAGAAUGAAUGACUUGUUUGUGUUUUAAUUGCAUGUAAUUUGUGUUUCCCUACCAGAAAGAGCGUCGUUUGGAGGAUGCUGAACGAGAAAACACACGGCUACUCGCGGAAGUAGAUCAUUGUGAAAGUAUGUUUAAAUAUUUAUCAAAUGAUUUCUCAUUUAUUUCGGUAUCUUAAUGUCUAUUUAAAAAGAAUGUUCUAAGAUAUAUCUUAAGACUAGAACUGCAUUAGAUGCAAGAUUGAACUGAUUUCAAAUUCAAUAUACAAACUGAAUUUGUAACGUCCGAUUAGCAAAAGCAAACCCCAUUCUUUUUCAUAAGAAAAAAUAUGUGCGUGUGUUACAUGAUUAAAAUCACAUGAUCAUAUGCUUGAAUCAUGCAGAGAGAUGUGAUAAAGUACGUGAAGACAUUAGAAUUGUGGAAAAUGAGCUUGACUUUGCCUUACUCGCUGUAGAAGGUUUCUAAAGUAUGUCUGGCAUCACCACACUGUUGGAACAAAUGGUUUUACAUAAGGGAUGGUCACCAAUUUCACUUUUGAGGAGUAAUUUCUCUACAAGGACUUUAUAGUGCUUGUGAUGUCUUGUGAUCCAAAUCACAAGGGUUAAAAGAUAUUUUUGUUCGCAUUACAUCACGAUAAGUAAUUGAGUGUAUUGAAAUGAUUGAGACUAAAAUUAUAUAUAAAAUACUUGAUAGAUGAUAUCUCGUUAGUAGCUCCUCAAAAGAUUGCACCGUGUGUGCGUGCGACUGUAUGCAGGAGUAUUGUUUUGAUGCAUUCGAUUUUAAUGUUGUUACAUAUCAGUAAAGUGCAGUGUGGGUAGUGUUUUCUUACUAUGCAUGGCGCUAUUUCAGGGAAAUACGACUAAUUGAUGGAAAGUCAUGAGCAAAUAAAAAUGGAAUUGGAGAACACAUUUGCUGAUCUUGAUAAUAUGUGAGCAUGUACCCAUUCCAUUAUUUCAUCAUUUUAUAUUUAAAGAUGAAUUACUUGCUGAAAAGGAGAAGUACAAGGCGAUUAGUGACGAAUUGGAUCAAACAUUUGCUGAGUUAGCUGGCAUGUGAGAACAUCAACUUUUGUCAGACAACAAGAAAAAUACACUUCAUUUACAUUUCUACAAAGCCCUGUUUCGCUGUUAUUGAUGAUGGAAAAAAAAAACAUUCUAUGCAAAAUGUUAACUUUCGGACAAAAGCUGAAGUGAUUUUUUAAUGGAAUAUGAAAAGUUUAUUUAUAAGUUUCAGACUUUAAUAAUGUUAUUUGUAUAUUUUUAAGGACAGAUGUAGAGUAAUUGAUACAUGCUUUACGGCUUAUAUAGUAUUGUAAAUUUAUGUGUAUCUGUGUGUUUUCCGCAAUAUCACAGGAAAGAAUUAUAAGCAACAGUGGUCUUUCUUUCAUUUACUGUUUUUUAUUUAAGGCUCUUCGUGUUGCUAUGUUACUGUUAGGUCUAAGUGGGUGUUCUUUUUUUCUUUCAUAUGCACAGAGAAUUCAGCAAAUGGAUUUUAAAUAGUCGCUAUAUUUACUAAAUGAUACAAUGUAUUAACAGACAUAUAACUUUGAACAAAUAUUUUUUUUAUUACGGAAAACGUCUCCUGCCUUAACCACAAACAUUGUAUGUAUGUAUGUAUGUAUGUAUGUAUGUAUGUAUGUAUGUAUGUAUGUAUGUAAUUAAAAGAUUGACUAUAUUCAGCCAAAUCUUUUUGGGGUUACUUGCUUCUGACAUACACCAGGUUUCAUUUUGCGGAAACUUUCGGUUUUAACUGCAGCAGCUGCCGGUUUACUGAGAACAUCUUGUUGUGGAAACUGUCGGUACUGCACCGCUCCUUACGCACGUGUCCUUUUAUAUUGACUUUGUCUUUACGCCAUAUGUGAAUAGAUGUCAAGUCAUAUUGAAGGCUUUAUAGGGAUAUGUGUUAAAAGGGUUUCGAAUGAUAAGUAGCCUCAAUAAAUUUUGGCUAUGUUAAUGAGAAUGUGGGAGCCAUUUGGGUUAACAAUGUUGAAGUGUGUCGAGCCUGAGUGGCAAAAGAUAUUGUUAUAAUAAGGUCCGCAGUGGACUUACUAAAAUUAUCUGAAGCGUAUUUAACAUCAAGCUUGAUAAUAAAAAAAGAAACACGCAUCAUUUACCAUCAUGAUACACUGAACCAUCUGUAUAUUGAAGAGAAAAUAAAUAUGGCAAUAUCCAGCCCCCUUCUGCCAUUCCGCUCAUCACCUUCAACAUCUCCCCAUUCUUAAGGUGUAUGUUCUGUUAUAGAAGUUAUUUUGAUCAUUUUUUCGUGUAAAAAAUGACUUGUAGCCCAAAUAUUAAGAUCUUCAUUUAUAUCAUUUACAGAAAUUUAUUUACUGUGUAAAUUGCAAACUAUUUUGUAUUAAAAAUUGGUACCAAUUUUAACUUUUUUUGUGUCAUAGACAAUUGUGUAAUCAUUUUUAUUAUCGGUAAACAGUUUAGUUUACUAAACUUGUUCGGAGAUGUUCGGUGUAUAGGGAGAUGUUGUAUAUUAUGUCUUCGGAACUUACGUAGAUAGCUUGGCCUUCACUGCAUUCUUCCUGGAUAUUGCCAACUUUGAUUUUUAACCUUCAAUAAAAAAAAUCAUAUUGUUA
This is a long non-coding RNA of Ruditapes philippinarum (Manila clam), 3121 nucleotides long. RefSeq lists it as uncharacterized. The record is from RefSeq and is a predicted model, not a curated record. Lineage: Eukaryota; Metazoa; Mollusca; Bivalvia; Venerida; Veneridae. The transcript has 2 exons.